This is a non-coding RNA of Parelaphostrongylus tenuis, 73 nucleotides long. The record is from the annotation of a GenBank genome assembly. NCBI's taxonomy places the organism in Eukaryota, Metazoa, Nematoda, Chromadorea, Rhabditida, Metastrongylidae.
GCCUCGAUGGUGCAGCGAUAGAGCACGCGCCCCCGGAUAGAAUGAAACGCGGGUUCGAUUCCUGCCUGAGGUC